UACGAAGGGUACAAGCGUUACUCGGAAUUACUGGGCGUAAAGCGUGCGUAGGUGGUUUGUUAAGUCUGAUGUGAAAGCCCUGGGCUCAACCUGGGAAUUGCAUUGGAUACUGGCAGGCUAGAGUGCGGUAGAGGAUGGCGGAAUUCCCGGUGUAGCAGUGAAAUGCGUAGAUAUCGGGAGGAACACCAGUGGCGAAGGCGGUUGCCUGGGGCUUUGCUGACGCUGAUGCGCGAAAGCGUGGGGAGCGAUCCGG
RNAcentral lists this ribosomal RNA (253 nucleotides) under uncultured bacterium. RNAcentral describes it as "partial 16S ribosomal RNA". It matches the Rfam family "Bacterial small subunit ribosomal RNA", at positions 524 to 776 of the family's 1533-position model. The record is from RNAcentral.